UUUUUUUUUUUUUUUUUUUUGGGUCAACGAGAGUGAGUGCACAAUAUAAAAAUGUAUCAAACAAAUAAAUAAGUCAAUAGUCCAAAAUUAAAUAUCGCAUAAAGAUAGUUUUAGCCAUUAUCACAAUAAAAAUAAAACUAAUUUUCAAAUGAAUAUAACAAUGACUUUUGUUUACCGAUUUGUUAAAAUAUUUUCUGUAAUUAACAAAAUUUUCCUUUAAAUUACGACUGUUUUUUUUAAUAUUUAUACGUUAAAAGAAAUUUAAAAAUGUUUUCGUAAAUAAUUUUAAAACUGUCUUUGGAGAGUACCUGAGCUACUGUUUUUCCCUUUGCCUCAGCAAUUUCUUUGAGAACAUCAGACUCCAUGAUUUUGUGAGUUCCCCAAAACGCUCCUCUCGAUCCCAACACCGAAUAAGCUGUCACAACAAUGCCUUUCGACUUACAUAACUCCCUCAGUUUUCUCUGUUGCCAUACUGGACUCAUCUCCACCUUUUUCACAUUAUCCACAAACAAAUGUUUCAAAUUAUUUCACCAAUCCAAUAUUUUCUUAUAAAAAAAAGGUUGAACUUAUUUGAUAAAUUAAAUAAGAGAGAAUUUUAAAUAUACUUGAUUGACACUAGGUGGGAUUUUUGCUAUUGAAAGGAUGUGUUGGAGUUUCUUGCAUGAGAAGUUGCUUACUCCUAUACACUUUGCAACUCCGAGUCUCUGACACUCUUCCAUCUCAGACCAAACUGUUUCAUAAUCCAUUGGCAAAAAGUCAUCUUCUUCUAUAGGGAACUUGUAUUUACCAGGUUUCGAGCUAACCGGCCAGUGGAUUAGGUAGAGAUCGAGAUAGUCCAAUUUAAGAGUUCUACAAAACAUGAUAUGAAAAUGAUGAUUAAGAUCAUGCAACCCCGAAAUACGCUUUUUGUACUUGGCUUGCAGUCCAUAGAAGGCUAUCAACAGGAGAUCGCAUGGUUAAAUGGUCGGGAGACGUUACAACGGACUGCAUUCUCUGUCAAGGUAACCUCGAAACCCGGGAACACCUUUUCUUUGAUUGUGGAUACACUUCAGCAGUUUGGGCAGCGCUUGUAAAGGGAAUUCUCAAAUCGAGAUAUACUUCCAACUGGACCUCGAUAAUGGACCACCUCGCUCAUGCUCAGCCACACCGCGUGGACCACUUCCUCGUUCGCUAUGCCUUCCAAGCGACUCUAUACACUGUGUGGAGGGAAAGAAAUGGUAGACGACACGGUGAGACCCUCAACACGGCCUCUCAACUAGUUGGAUGGAUAGACAAGCAAAUCCGAAAUCAGCUGUCCUCAAUCAAGCUCAAGGGCGAUCGACGAUAUGAUGACGCUCUUCAAUUGUGGUUCAGUACCAGAGUUUAAUCUUAUAGUUUUGUCUCCUUUUUCUCAAACUCUAUUUUCAGUUUAAACUCUUUCAACUCACGUUGCAUUUGAUGUAAAAAAGUUAGGUUUCUUUUGAAUAUAAUUUAACAUUAUUUCAAAAAAAAAAAAAUGAUGAUUAAGAUUAAGCAUUGUUCUAAGAUACGGCCUAAGCGUUCAUAUAUACGAUGUAAAGAUGUUAUACAUUAAUGACUAAUGUCCCAAAAUCUUUAUGAAAAAAAAAUUAAAAAAAUUAAAUGAUAUUUUUUCGUAUAUACUUAAGUUUUUUAUUGUGUUUUUUUAACACCAUUGUGUUAUUAGUUAUAAUAAUGUUUUCGUUCUUAAAAUAUUAUUUCGCCAAUUUUGAUACCAACGAGUGCGUAUAUAUAUCAACGAAUCCAAACUCGAAUAUCAUGAAAUUUUGGAGUAUCCAUGCACACCCCUAAGUAUAUAUUUGAGUUUAACCAUCUAGAGUUCAAAAGUCUAUUUAAAUCUUUCAUGUAACCACAAAUCUCAUUUGCUAUCCUUUUCUAUAUAAUAAGGAACUCAAAUCUUACUCCAAACUCCGUUGGAUCGCCGGUACAACAAGGCCACCAUGAGCAUCGGCACACCAUAGCUUAGAAGUGACGAAGAGUUCUGAUCGAGAUUGGAUUAACCCGAGAGAAACCGCCUCCGCCAAAGCUUCACCAAGCGGUUCCUCCGUCUGGUACCUAGGAGAGGUGUCGAAGUGACGAUAACCGAGCUUGAUGGCUUCCAACACCGUCCGUUUCAACACUAUUGGUUCGGGUGGAGGAGACGCAGCAGUUCCAAGAGCUAGAACCGGCAUCAAGUGAUGAACGGAUCCGAUAGGGAACGUAAGAGCUGACAUUGGUGAAAAGAAGCGCCAAAAAGUCAAAGAAAGUUUGCUACGAGAAAAUCGUUUCUCAUUGGCUCAAUUUAUACUCACUACUUCGUGGCCACUAGCCACCAUGGCCAUCAAAAACAAGUAAAGAAAAAAAAACAUGUCACGAGUGGCCAUCAAAAAAACAAAACAAAAAUAAAAGGAGGAUGCCACGUGUAACCCAUAACCUGCUACAAGAGGUGAACCGCACCUCCAAUCAUUUGUCUAAUUUCGGUGUCGUGUCCAAGUUCCCCGGUGGCUUUGAAUUUAUCCAUCGGUAUUGGACUAGGUUUUGGAUGGAUUCAACCCUUUGUCAUUUUCAUUGAGUUACUUUCUAAUAGUGUGUACUUGUUAAAAAUCUCAAUUAUUAGUGUUUUAUGGCUUUGUUCGGAACUUCGUUGAUAUGGACAAUAGAGCAACAUGUUCCUUGGAACACAAGAUAGUAGAAAGCGAGGUGUUGAAAUUUCUCCCCUCUCCCGCUGUUAAAUAUUUUUGGUGGUUUGUGUAUUGUGAUUGUAAUUUAAAAAUGAUUAAUAAGGAGCAAAUGCCCUUAGCUUUCUCCCAUUUCAAAUUUAGGGUUUAGACCCAUAACCUAAAAUGUAUUAUUAGAAUCCUGGUCGUGAAUCCAAUCUUAUUAGCCAAGUUCUACUCCACUUCCGUACUACGCUGUGUCUAAAUGACAAAUCGUUUAUGUUGGAGAUAGUCCUUAUUCAUUAUUCAUUAUUUCAUUAUUAGAGAGAAUGACAAGAAAAUCAUUGUGACGAAUGAUAAUUGUGCCGUUUUCAAUAGGCUAUUUUCACACAAAGUGAUCAGAUCUCCCCGUCCCACAUCUCGGCGACAGAUUUGAUGGGACCUUUCUUAGAGGUAUAAACCUCUCCGUGGACGUUUCUGAACUGAGGAAUCUCAGUUGAAAUUCUCUGUGUCUCAUCCUCUGUCAAAGACCAAUCAAAUAUCUUUAGAUUCUCUUCUAAUCUCUCUUUGGUAAAGCUCUUCACUACCAUGCUCACUCCUUGUUCAUAAGCCCAUCUCAUACUCACCUGUAAUUACAACUCCAAAUAUGAGCUUUGAACUCCAUGGAUAUAGCUGAUGAAUACAUCUCAAAUUUUUCUGUUGAGAUUCAUGUUACCAAGAUAGUGACUGACUAUUGAUGGUGAUAAAUUGAUAAUAACUGAUAAACGUCCCCACUUUUUUUUUUUGUUGUUGUAAAAGUUCAUAUAAAUGUCACCAAUUGUUUUUUGUAUUUUUCUUGUUUGAUAGUAUCGUUUAAGAAAACUUUUGAAAGUACCUGGGCCACUGUUUUUUCCUUUGCUUCUGCUAUUUCUUUGAGAACAUCAGAUUCCAUAAUUUUGGGAGUUCCCCAAAAAGCUCCUCUAGAUCCCAACACCGAGUACGCUGUGACAACAAUGUCGUUCGAUCUACAAAGCUCCCUUAGCUUUCUUUGUUGCCAUAUUGGACUCAUCUCAACCUUGUUUUCAUCCAUAAAAAAAAAAGAAGGGUGAAUUGGAAUUGUUUGCUGAAAAAGAAAUCAAAGAGUAAAAAAGUAGUGUUUACUUGAUUGACGCUAGGCGGGAUUGUCGCGAUAGAGAGUAUGUGUUGAAGCUUCUUACAUGAAAAAUUGCUUACUCCUAUGCAUUUUGCGAGCCCAAGUCUCUGACACUCCUCCAUUUCAGACCACACUACUUCGAAAUCCAUUGGCAUAAAAUCAUCUUCAUCAAUAGGAAACUUGUAUUUACCAGGUUUCGAGCUAACCGGCCAAUGAAUUAUAUAAAGAUCAAGAUAGUCCAGUUUAAGGUUUCUGCAAAACCAUAUUUGUUACACAGGUGGUUUACAUUAAGUUAUGUCACUCCCAAAAUAAUAUUCAAUCAUGAAACAUAAUUGACACGGUGACUGAUAGAGAACCUGAUCCAUAGAGAUAUGUGAAAUAGUUUUCUGUAUUUCUCAAUCGGAAAAGUGUUUACAAGUAUGUUUGUAUACAUCUACACUAAACCAACUAAACCAUAUACAAUCACAAUUUAACUUAACCGGAAUCACUAAACCGGACUAUCAUAUAUACAGUUCGAAUAGUGACACCUACUCUCAGUGAUUGAAACCGUGCAUUCUAAUUUCAUGUGAAAAUCAUUAAGGAAUCUAAAUCUUACUUCAAACUCCGUUUGAUCGCCGGUACGACGAGACCACCAUGAGCAUCAGCACACCAAAGUUUGGUAGUGACAAAGAAUUCAGAUCGAGAUCGAACUAAGCCGAGUGAAACCGCCUCCGCUAAAGCUUCGCCGAUCGGCUCCUCCGUUUGGUACCUUGGAGAGGUGUCGAAAUGGCGAUAACCAAGCUUAAUAGCCUCAAUCACCGUCUCUUUCAGCAUCGUUGGUUCCGGUAGCGGAGAAGCGGCGGUUCCAAAACCAAGAACCGGCAUCGAGUGAUGACCGGAUGGUCCGGAUCUGAUGGCGAGCGUAGGGACUGUGGUUAAAGACAUUGGUUAAAGAGAAGUCAACGAAAGUGUGCUCUCAGAAAAUGGUUUCUCUCGGUGGCCCAAAGCUUUACUCAGUAGCCACUGACUAAUGCUAGUGCCUGAUAAUAUUAUAUUAAUAUACUCUCUUUGAUUAGAAAAGUACGUAAGUCUUCAUAUUAUAAGUUUAUAACGCUAUAUAAUUUGACUAUAAAUUGUUAAUAGAAAGUAGUCAUGAUAUUAUAUACGAAAAAUAUUUGAAUUAGUAUUCUUUAAUAUUGUUUAUUUGGAAAACUUUUAAAGAAUAAUAUGUUAUGUAAUUUGUGCUAAAAUUUCAAAAUUUUAAUAUGUAAAUCAAUAAUGAAUUAAUAUAAGUUGUUUUCAGCUUUUUCUCAAAAGCAUGUCACGUAUGAGCAUUAACACCCGUGUGGAAAAAUGGAGCCAAGUGAGCUAAGCAUUUUAGCUUCAUAAAACAAACACACCGACGUCGUUAACUCUUCAUCUUCAUUUUUUUCUGUAACUUCUCCCAUAUUUUUUCUUCCCAAAAAUAUACUAUAAAAAUGAGAACACUUCUUCUAACGAUUUUGAUCUUCUUCUUCACAGUGAAUCCAAUCUCAGCAAAAUUCUACACUAACGUCUCUUCAAUCCCACCGUUACAAUUCCUAAACGCAACGCAAAACGCAUGGGAAACAUUCUCCAAACUCGCCGGUUGUCACAUCGGAGAAAAUAUCAACGGCCUCUCAAAACUCAAACAAUACUUUCGCCGUUUCGGUUAUAUCACCACCACCGGUAAUUGCACUGACGAUUUCGAUGACGUGCUUCAAUCAGCGAUCAACACUUACCAGAAAAAUUUCAAUCUCAAAGUCACCGGAAAACUCGAUUCCUCGACUCUCCGGCAAAUCGUUAAACCGAGAUGCGGGAAUCCGGAUUUGAUCGACGGGGUUUCGGAGAUGAACGGUGGUAAGAUACUCCGUACGACUGAGAAAUACUCGUUUUUCCCCGGGAAGCCACGGUGGCCGAAACGGAAACGAGAUCUGACUUAUGCGUUUGCGCCGCAGAAUAAUUUAACAGACGAGGUUAAACGCGUGUUCUCACGCGCCUUCACGCGUUGGGCGGAGGUGACUCCGUUGAAUUUCACGCGCUCUGAGUCUAUCCUCCGUGCGGAUAUAGUGAUCGGAUUUUUCUCCGGUGAACAUGGUGAUGGAGAGCCGUUUGAUGGAGCUAUGGGAACAUUAGCGCAUGCUUCUUCGCCUCCUACGGGGAUGUUACAUUUAGACGGUGAUGAGGAUUGGUUGAUCUCUAACGGUGAAAUUAGUCGUCGGAUAUUACCGGUGACGACGGUGGUGGAUCUUGAAUCGGUGGCUGUUCAUGAGAUUGGUCAUCUUUUAGGGCUAGGUCAUUCGUCGGUGGAAGAUGCGAUUAUGUUUCCGGCGAUUUCUGGUGGAGAUCGGAAAGUGGAGUUAGCUAAGGAUGAUAUCGAAGGGAUUCAGCAUUUGUACGGUGGUAAUCCGAAUGGAGACGGUGGUGGUUCGAAACCUAGCCGUGAGAGUCAAUCUACCGGUGGUGAUAGCGUUCGUCGGUGGAGAGGGUGGAUGAUUAGCUUAUCAUCGAUUGCCACGUGUAUAUUCUUGAUUUCUGUUUAGUGUAGGUUUUAUUUAUACUUUUAUUCCAUCUUAUUUUGGGGUCAAUUAAUCGAUUUGUUUUUGUUUUUCUUCUAAAAGUAACGAUUCUAUGUUAUCGAUGGAAAAGUAACGAUUUGGGGUCAUGGUCUCAUGGAAAUGAGAGAAAUUGUAAAAUUCUUCAUAUAUUGGAUUUUGGUGUUUAUUAAUGCAUAUUAAAUUUAAUGUCAGAAAAAACUUCGUUAGAACAAAAUGUUGUCGUAAAAUAUGAUUUUCUUUUUCUUUGGUCGGUGAAAUAUGUAAAUCUGUUUCUGCUAGACUAUUGAAUAUUUCGAUUUUUUGGUCAAAAAACUGUUGAAGUUUUCUUCACAAAUUUUAAAGGUCUUUAAAGUUUUACAAUGAGUUAUGACUCAUAGACUUACGAAGUCAUCACAUACAACACUAGUUAGAGCAUCAUUAAUGGUAGUUUCUUAGGUUAGUCUUAACUUAGUUCUUAGGAUUUUUUUUAAUUGAUUUUAAUUUUUUAAAACAAAAGAUAAGAAUACUUCAAUUUGUCUUUUAUAUAAGAGACUCUUUUAACAAAUAUAUGAUUAAAAACAUUAAAUUUGUAACCAAAAUUUCCUAAGAAUUAAGCUAAGCAACUAUCAAUAAUGGUGCUCUUAGUCGGUCCAAUUUGUUUGAGAAGACUUGUUUUUAUUGAUAAUCACCACUUACAUUUUUGUAAUGUUUCACAAAUCCACGUAUGUAGUUUUAUUUAAAAUAAAUACUAUGUUUUAAUUAAUAGUGGGAUUCUAAAGUAAAUUGAAAUUAUCAACAAUCGUGAAUUCGAACAUGUAUAUAGUCUAUAUAUAAUGACCUUGCGGCUCCUUCAAACACUGAACUACACCUGGUGGACCAUUUUCACAUUCUUGAAUGACGAAAAGUCUCUUCACUAAUGCAUACCCAUGCAUUAUCGUAAUGGCAACACCUGAACCAUGAGUCAUUAGCUUUAUGGUUAGCAUUGUAGUGAAGUUUUGUACAUGUUGGUGUAGUUACAAUAAUUUCAAUAACAAAAGCAAAACCACAUUCUUUCUCAUGGACUAAAUCUUUGCCAUAAGAGAACUUCUCGCUGCAAUCAUGUUGGCAUUUGGGCAUGUCACAAUGACUGCUUCCACAAAUGCCAAACAUGGCUGCACCAAGAAGUUCUCUUACGACAAAGAGUUCUUCCGAUGAGAAGGAAUGCGGUUUUGCUUUAUAUAUGUUACUGAAACUGCAACUACACAAGCAUGUACAAAGAUCUCUAUCAUCACUACAAAGUUAACCACAUGUACAUGUGUAAUGACGCAUGGUCAGAUGAUGUUUUUCUGACACGAUUAUCUUAUGCUAGAGGCAAAUAUUCUAGUAUCAUGUUGAUAACGUUGAUCAAAUAAGCAAACUUCCAAAUAAUUUAUUGAUUUUGAUCAUCUCGAUACUUCCACUUAAGAACCAGUGAAAACCAGUGUUCUGUCAAAAUGAUGGGUGGAUCUUUGGAAACAAAGCCACCAUCUUCUAUUGGACUUGAAAAUAAAAUCCACCAAACUUAUGCAUAAAUUUUUCGUUCGUUUAGCUAGAUUGACGGCCAAGAAAAAUUAACAAAUUUUGGUCAUCAAUCUAGCUAAAUAAAGAAAAAAUAGUGCAUAAGUAUGGUGGAGUUUUCUCUUGAUAUUUCUUAUGUCUAAGAAGACGAGGUGAGAUAUAUUCCAUAAAUCUACUUAUCGUUUUGAUGUAACUAGUAUCUUUUUAUUUUCUUAGGAGAGUGUAUUGUAAUUCUUCUUAAACACUUUACUCUUACCAAUUUAUCAUGUAUCAAUAUUAAUUAGUACGGCACAAUAGUAUAAUUGACAUAAGAAUGCGGAAACAACAUAUAGUCCACGCUGAAAUCAAUGAAGUAAGAAAAUGGAAACUUAAUUCAUUCGCAAACAUAACAUUAUUUGUUAUACAAAAAUGAAAAUAACAGAUAUUAACUAUCAAAACAAACAUAACCAAUUCAUAUAGUCAUGCAGAUCGAAAUUAUCAAUCAGACGAUAUAUUUAUCAAUCUUGCAAAGAAACAAAAACAAAGAUUUUACAAUUAAGAGAGAUGAAGAUCGGACCGUAAUGCUUUCAUUCCCCAGAAGAAGAGAUGAGAUGGGAUUCAGAUUCAGACAAUAAUACCUAUCGAUGUAACCUUUUCUUUUCCCCAAAAGAAGUACACAUCAAAUUCCCACCAUCAUGGAUCCAUCAUCCUUUUAGGAGAUGCUUGUUUUGUUUUUUUCCUCUUACUCUCUUGAACAAGAACAACAAGGCCAAGAUCUCCAUCGUGUGUUUCGUAUGUCUGAAAAUCCCUCUGAACUUUUUAUUAUAGUUUUGAUGAGACUUGUUUGGUGGAAGUUUGGUGGUUCUGAUGAUGAUGAGAGAGAGCGAAGAAAUUAUGGCUUAUAAAAAAGAAGAAGAGACAUGAUGAUUACUGAUUGGUACAAACAUUGAAAAUAGUUAUAAAAAGAGAAGUAAAUUGUCAAAACAAUCACAACUAUUUAC
Molecule: long non-coding RNA, 8836 nt
Filed under: Arabidopsis thaliana (thale cress)
Lineage: Eukaryota; Viridiplantae; Streptophyta; Magnoliopsida; Brassicales; Brassicaceae
Description: long non-coding RNA (ATHA_LNC000595)
Source: RNAcentral